This 546-nucleotide ribosomal RNA is filed under the name Longpotamon jiujiangense. RNAcentral describes it as "partial 16S ribosomal RNA". It matches the Rfam family "Bacterial large subunit ribosomal RNA", at positions 1831 to 2625 of the family's 2925-position model. The record is from RNAcentral. Lineage: Eukaryota; Metazoa; Arthropoda; Malacostraca; Decapoda; Potamidae.
GUUUGUUUGGAGUUAUAAAGAAUUUAACCUGCCCCCUGAUUAAUUAUUAUUAAAGGGCCGCAGUAUUAUAACUGUGCAAAGGUAGCAUAAUCAUUAGGUUUUUAAUUGAAAUCUCGUAUGAAUGGUUGGACAAAAGAAAGACUCUCUUUAUAUUAAGUUUUGAAUUUAACUUUUAAGUGAAAAGGCUUAAAUAUUCUAAAGGGACGAUAAGACCCUAUAAAACUUUACAUUGUCAUUAAUUUUGAUUGAAUUUAUAAAAUAAAAAUUUUAUUUGAUUAUUUGUUAUGUUGGGGAGACAUAAGUAAAAUAUUUUUUUAACUGCUUGAUAGUUAUACAAUUAUUAGUGAAUAAGUAGAAGAUCCUUUUUAAGAUUAGUAGAUUAAGUUACUUUAGGGAUAACAGUGUAAUUUCUUUUGAGAGUUCUUAUCGAAAAAGAAGGUUGCAACCUCGAUGUUGAAUUAAAAUAUCUAUAUAAUGGAGAGGUUAUAUAAGAAGGUCUGUUCGACCUUAAAAAUUUUACAUGAUUUGAGUUCAAACCGGUGUGAG